CAGCAGCCACGGGAAUACGAAGGGUGCAAGCGUUAAUCGGAAUUACUGGGCGUAAAGCGUGCGUAGGCGGUGAAUUAAGUCUGCUGUGAAAUCCCCGGGCUCAACCUGGGAAUGGCAGUGGAUACUGGAAAGCUAGAGUGUGUCAGAGGAUGGUGGAAUUCCCGGUGUAGCGGUGAAAUGCGUAGAGAUCGGGAGGAACAUCAGUGGCGAAGGCGGCCAUCUGGGACAACACUGACGCUGAGGCACGAAAGCGUGGGGAGCAAACAGGAUUAGAGACCCCGGUAGUCCCUGUCUCUUAUAC
This 301-nucleotide ribosomal RNA is filed under the name uncultured bacterium. Its description in RNAcentral is "partial 16S ribosomal RNA". It matches the Rfam family "Bacterial small subunit ribosomal RNA", at positions 509 to 807 of the family's 1533-position model. The record is from RNAcentral.